CUUUGCGGCAUGUAGGAAGGGGGGAGAAGUCAGCGCGGGGGAACGGGGGGAAGGAGAGUUAUUUAUAUGGGAAGCCAGGUGCAACCCGCACCCCUGGUCCCGGCGGCAUGCUAAUUUGGUCAAAGCUCUUUUUUUUUUUUUUUUUCCCUGGCUGCCGCUUCCAAGUGAAUUAGACAUCCUGCCGAGGAUGAUCUUAUCAAAUUAAUGUAAUCAGACUGCCGUUUCGGGUCCCCAGGAUGAACGUUUGGCCUUCUUGGUAGUUGCGGUAGGCGAGGAUUGCGGAGGAAGGAAGCUUUGGGGGCGGGGGGAGGGAGAACGGGCUAGGAGAUGGAAAAGAAAGCAGAGAAAUUCUGGCCCUGAAAACGUCCGCCCAAUAAAUUACAAACGGUCUAGAAGAGAUAAAAUGCCUCCGAGAGAGAAAGCACCACAGUAAAUAUGUUAGUGGUUUCAUUAGAAGAAAAAAAGAGGGGAAGGAAACUUGGCGCCGCGUUGAGGCGCAUUAAUUCAUUUCUCCUGUCGCCGUCUCUGACUUCGCUUUUCGGUGCAUGCCGGGGGUGGGAGGGCUCGGGGCUGCCUGCAAACCUUUCGUGCAUCAUGUAUCGCUGAGUCCAAGUGUAGGGGCAGCCGGAGGCAGGACAGCCCCCAGCUGAGUCCUCAGACGGAGGUGAGAGAGUCAGGGAAAAGGAGCGGGGGUAGGAACAGGGUUGGAGUAGGUGACUCACUCGUGUUGUCAGCAGCAGCGACCCGAUCUCUGUGGGUAAAGGCACGGGGGAGGAAGUGCUGAGACGCUGGAGCUUGAGAAGGCCCACAAGAACCUGGAGGAGGAUGCAAGCAGGACAACUGACCUAAACUGACCAAAAAAAUAUUCCGUGCUGCCUGACAUUGUUCUCACCAAUACAAUCAGGGAGUUGACUUGGAGACUGCCAUUGCUGGCAAUUCAUUGCUGGUGAACAGCUGUUUACACAGCAUUGGAUUUCAAGUCUGAAGAAAUAAAAAACAGGUACUGCUUUCUGAAAUGAAGUACACAUUUGUAAAAAGGUAAAAUAAGUGGCAUGUAAGAAUGAAAUGCUCGUGUUCUCAGUAGCAGUGACUGAUAUUUUGGAAAUGAUCUCUCAUAACCAGAAAGAGUCAAAUGUUCAAAUUGUGUAAUAAGACUAGAAAAUAAUAGUAAGAAAUGUUAUUUAUGCAAAAGGAUUAUAGUUCCUUAGGAAAUUCUUAAGUUAGAGUUCUUCACAGAACAUAGCAUUCUGCACAUGCUCCUAUUUAUCUCACUCUUUCAGUUCUACAAAGAAAUGGCCAUUUUCAUUAAUGUAAUACAAUGAAAAUAAUCACAAUUCAGCUCACAUUAACAAUAUGGUAAAAUAUUCUGAAGCAAUUGAUUGAGUCUAUAAUUAUGGUUGUUCAGGACUUCUGUAGAUAAAUUCUAUGCUUUUACAUCUCGCAACACAGAGACUCAGUUUAAAUAGAUAGUCCGGAUAAAACAUUUGUGUCCAUGUACCUUGGAGCUAACCCACAAAAGCGAUGUCAAAUUUUGGUUUUGGUGCGUUAAGACUUAAUCCCCUCUUCCCCCCCUCAAAUAUGUAGCAUUUGAACAACACUGUGACUCUUUCAGUAAAAUCUUACUUGUGUAUACACGUAUAUUUAACAUAUUUGACUCUAGAUAUUGCCUAGGAUUUAGGAAUCUGAGUUAUUUUGCAUUAUUUAAAAACAAAAAGCUUUCUGACUUCUCUCAGUGGACUGGCAUCUCUUUAUACAAUUUGAUUUUCUUUUUCAUUUAUUUAUUUAUUUAUUUUUCUGCUAAGCAAAACCUGAGUCUGAUCUUUAUUUUUUAGUUUUAACAAAUAAUUUGCUAGUCUAAUCAGUUUUGUUCAUUCAAUAAAAUAUUGAGUUACUUCACAUGACUAUGUGCAUCAUAGAAAGAUUUUUUAAUGACUGUCCAGAAUGGUUAAAUGAAAUAAAUUUAUUGCCAGACUUCUGUUAGUAAAAAGGUGUGUGUGUGUGUGUGUGUGUGUGUGUGUAAAAACAACAGCAGUUUGUGCACUUUUUAUUUUGAAAUAAUAUGAAAUAGCGACAUGAAAAACUCAUAGCCCAGGAAAUGUUUCCUACUGUGAAAUCACACACGAAAAAAUCUUAAAUAACAGCCAUUUGCAGUGUAAGUAUGACAGUUAAACCACAGAAGAGGAACUGGAGUGGAAUGAUCUGUUGUUUUAUGUUGUUUUAAAUAAUAAGUGAAUUAUGCUGCUCUUAAUAGAAUAAAUCAACAACAAGAAAAAAGCCAGCCAUAUAAUAUCCUGCCAUGAAAAGCAGGACAUUUUGUUGUAAGCUGUAAUGUGUAUGAAUUUUAAGACAUCUGUGCACUUGGAAGAACGGGGUAAGAAGACAGCUCUGGCAGCAAUGACGCUGGUAAGUAUGAUAAAUCCUUUUCAACAUCAGCCACAUGUAAAAAACUUCCUGUUGGCUGAUCACUGAUGCAAACAAGUUUUAAAAUGGAAUAAUUCUGCUAUGGAAACAAAAAUAAAUAAAUAAAUGCAGUCUAGAAGAAGCUGAAAACCCUUUUUCCAAAGCAGAACACUUUGUUGCUUGAACAAUACUUAAUCAUCCUUUUUUUUUUUUUUUUUUUUUUUUUUUUUUUUUAUUUAUUUAAAAUAUCUUCUGUGGUAAAAAAGUAUCUGAAGAAACGCGAAUACUGACUUCUAAACAUUUGCUGAAUUUUAUAGAGUUAGAAACAAAGCAGAUUUGGAAUAGCAAGCUUGUUCAUUUAACUCUUUCUAUGGGGGACCUUGCAUACUGUUUGUUAUUUAUUUACUAAAUUAUUUAUUAUUUAUAUUAGAUAUAUAACAACUCUGUAGAAAAGAUUUGGUGAUAAAAAUUACAGAUCUUUUCAUUACUAGCUAACUUUAGACAGAAUAGUGUAAUUUAUAACAGAAUAAAGCACAACAUUUUUCACAAUGUUUUCAUAGUGGAAUCAAAAAUGUACUGAAAAGGCCAUAUCAUUUAUACAUAUACAAUCUAUUCAAUCUCUCAUUUAAGAAGAGUGCUAAUUUUUUAUUUAACCUUUGGCAUUAUGGAAUGAGUGGCUCACUGCUGCUAAAGCUAGCUCAAAGUUGAUGGGUCCCCUGUGCAGCCGGAAAAGAGCAUGCUGUUAAUGAGUCUCUGCUGCCUACACCUUUAUUAUCAAACUGAUAUGUCCCAACCAGUAAUGAUAGUAGCAGCCAAGAGUUUACUGGUUUGUUGGGAAUGCUGCCGAGCAUGAACAACUCAGUUACUCUUUAUAGAAGUCUCAUACCGUUUUCAAGUGCUGAAUGAGAAUUAAGGGGUAGUGAGUUGGCUCUUACAAUAUCAGAACUGUUAGCAUGUUCAGCAUAUCAGUGAAUGGUGCCUGCCACUACUUUUACAGAACUAUCACUACAGAGCAAGCUGAGGAAUCACUAAAGCUUCCUUUAACAUGAUAGCAUACUUAUAAAAUAGUAUAGUUGCAAACAGUACACUUAUAGCUAGUCUACAGCAAUUUAGGAGGAAAGCAGCUUGGCAAGGAUAUUGUAUUUGUCACUAACAUUAAACUGGAGAGUAUGGUUUAUGGCCAAUUAUCUCCAUUAUUAUUGUUUUUCAGGAAAGCUAUGAUGCUCUGGGACAGAAUCAUCUGAAUGCCAACCAUCUGCACUGCAUAUCAAGUCUCAAAAUGCCUAUGAAUCAAGAUAAGAACAUGACUUUACAUGAGACCCAUUUGUACUUUGUGUGCGAGUCACUGAAGGUGCAGAUCACAGAAACUAUGCAAAUUCCAAGGUCAAGUGAGUUUUUACAGCAAUCAAAAUGGGAAAUGUGAUAUAGCUGUUUGAAUGACAUCAUAACUAUAGAAAAGGAUUUCUAAUCUGGAAUGCAUUUGGAAAGAAGUUGAAGAGGUAAGGUCAGCUGGCAGCUCUCUACUCCAGGAAAUGAUGAUGAAGCAAAUGGUGAAUCAGUGAUGGUAGAGGAGAAUUGAGCUGAGGAGCAUCUGUACUAAUGGAACAUAAUGUUGCAUAGUUGUUGUGUUUGAAUGAGUGCUUCAGAUGAUUGUACACUGAAAUUUUCUUCAUAUUCCUUGUGAUGAUAUCCACUCUGGAAGGAAAAAUAACUUUUCUCUCUAUAAAGGCAAAAGAAACAUUAAGUGUCAUAUUCAUAUUUCAGAGAUAAAUUUUGAAGAAGCAUAAACCUUCAAAAGAACUGUAUGACCCAGUCUGCACCUUGGCAUUUCAGAGAUGUGUAAAUCAUCGAUGAAACCACCAAUUCAAAUCCAGAUGCCUUGCUUUUCAGUUUGAAUGAACAAAAGGAAAAUAAAUGGUGUGCUAAUAUUGGAAAGCCAGCUACAAAGAAAAAUACAAUGGAUAUUAGAAAGGAUCUUUGACAAGUGAAGAAGAAUGGCAGUGUUAUAAAUUGCAUCUAAUUUUCAGAAACAUGAGUAAACAGAGCCUUCGGCUUGAUUUCUGGAAUGAACUGGAAUAAUUCAUAUUGACUUAAUUCAGAAGGACUGUGGGGACUUCAUUACAUAAUGCAGAGAUACUCUGAAAUCUCUAAGACCAAAAAAAGUCCUACUGCAGCAUGACAAGUUCUUACAAUGAAAAAUACCAAAAAUAGUCAAAGAGAACCUCAAGAAUAUAUAUUCACCAUUAAAUUUCAAAGAUUAAGAUUUCUUGUUUUAAUAGUCCCCAAGAGCAAUGAAAUUUAAUUGUACAUAAUGGAAUUAACUGUGAUUCUAAAAUAUAUCAGUUUACCAUCUUUUCCAUGGUUUGCAUCUAUCCCCUCUUUAAAACAGACAGGCUUUUCUGAAAUAUCUGUAAGAUUUAUGCUAAAUAAGGUUUUUGAGUAGGGAUCCAAUUUUCCUGAUAGUUCAAAAGGAUCAUGACAUAGAUAAGAUUGAAUGAAGUGUAAUUAAUAUUGAUGUUCUUCAUUACAGGGCCCAAAAUCUAGAGCUUGUGUUGCUCACAGAGAAGGGCAUGCCCUUCAGAAAGAGGCACUUCGAUUUUAUAAUGGUGGAAAUGAAGUGACAGAAGGGACACAGUAGCAAAGAAUCACAUACAGAGGCAAGAGAAUGACAGAGAAGCAACCUCUAAACUGCUGUAACUAUGGCAGUUUAUGUCAGACAAGAAUUAAACUGAUAGCUAUAAGGAAUAUAUUCCACUAUUGAAACUGAAAACAGUUAAGAAGAGUUGCAUUUGAGUUGAAGGACCAAAAAAAUAGAUAAAUAAAUAAAUAAAAAUGGUGACCAUGCAGCACCUGAUGUUUACUGACAGGAGAGGCAAGUAGAAAGAAUAAUCGGUGGAAGAGAUGCAGUUGUGCAUAUAUCAGUUUCCAUCAGUUUCCAUUCCAUUUCUAGGACAAAUUACUGCCUGAAGCAGAUGUACGUAGGGUUGUUAACUAGUUUCUUUAAUUGGUUGCUUUACACAUAGUCAGAGAAUAUUUUAAGCAGCAGAACAUUGCAACAAACUAAAGACUGCACUUGAAAAAUAAUCUAUGCUAUUUUUUUUCAGGCUGGUGAAACACAGAUUGCUUUCAGUUAUUUUUCUCGGCAGGACUUUUUUCUGUCCACAGCCUGUCAACUGGCAUAGUAUCCAGAUGGUUAUAAGGCUCUAGGGCACCUGUAUAAUUCACAUUAGAGUUUAACAGAAAUGUAGCGAGUAAUAUUUUUAUAUUUACAUACUCCUUCAUUCAAAGAAAACACAACUGCUACAUUUUCGCUCUGAUCAUUACCCUGUGGUACCCCACUUAGACAAUGUCUCCACUGCCUGCCAGUUUGUAGUAAUGUUGCUGCAUUUCUUUCUGACUGUUGUAGAAAGUCUUUGAACAAAUACUUCCCCUGUAGUCCAUACAAGAAGGCAGUCUACUGUAAUAAUUUUGAGGUACUUUUUGCACCACUCUUAUUUCCAGAAGAGGUGUUAUUUCUCAUCCAAACUGUAUCUCCCUGCCUUCCUGUUUGUUGUGCAUGUCAUCAUCUGCAUUGCCCUUUCAACAGUGAAUGAGAGAACAGCACUAAAAAAUCAGAAUUUCUUUAUUGAAAAUUGACAGUGUUAUUUGAAAUAAUUGAGUGGGUUUUUUUGUUUGUUUGUUGUUGUUGUUUAUGUGAGCAAUGGCGACUGGGCAUUUCAAAGUCAUGUGAUAAGAGUAGUGUGUACAUAACAAAAAAAUAAAAAAUAUUUUAGAUUUUUGUGAGUAUAUAUUUGCAGAAAAAAUUUUUCAGUCACUUCUCAGGUAAAAAAUGACAUUUUAGUUUAAAAAAAAAAAGUUGAUUAAGAAAGCAUGCAUUUAUCUCUAGGUGAUGUAUCAUUGAAGAAAUGUUUUAUGAUAUUAAAUAAAUCGUGUUGUAUUCCUUAAAGCACAUAGAAAACUUCUCUAAAUCAUAAAUUAUAAACUGGACAAAAUUAAUUAAUUAAUUAAUUAAUUAAUUAAAUGAAUAAAAUGCAAACAUGCAUGGAAAUAAUUGCAUUUAAAUUAAAUUAAAUUAAAUUGCAUUUAAUGAAACUUCCUGUCAGUGUUCACUUAGAUGUUAGAGGUGGUAUUUGGUUUCCAAAUCUGAUAGAAAUAUGUUAAUGUUAGGAGUUCUAAUUGCUUGAAAUCUUUUGUUACAAAAUGUUGUGCUGCCAUGAAUUACUCUUAUAAAUUUUGUUCUUUGUUGAAAUAAGAUCUCAUUUGGAAGGAUAUUGUGGUAGAUAUAAAAUGCAGAAAUUGAAUGCAGGAUUUUCACAUGUAACAAAUAUUCUUUAAAUAUAUCAGGAUAUAUGCAUUAAUAACUCAUACAUAUUUUGUUAUUUCUGUCUGAUUGAAUAGACACAACUUGUAUGAGCAUGAGAACUGUAUUAUGUAUUGAUCUUUUUAAUAAACAAAUUACAUGA
Molecule: non-coding RNA, 6863 nt
Organism: Coturnix japonica (Japanese quail)
Lineage: Eukaryota; Metazoa; Chordata; Aves; Galliformes; Phasianidae
Source: RefSeq, a predicted model, not a curated record